This is a long non-coding RNA of Sparus aurata (gilthead seabream), 1547 nucleotides long. NCBI's taxonomy places the organism in Eukaryota, Metazoa, Chordata, Actinopteri, Spariformes, Sparidae. The record is from Ensembl.
AUGUAGGAGGGCAAAGCAUUCCUCAACCCCUUUUCUUUUUCUCUCCUCCCCUCUCGUCGUUUCAUAUCUUUUCAGAGGUGAACUCACUCCUUCUGCACCAUCUGUGUCAUGCAGCACAUAAGCACUGAGCUGUCCUGGCUGGAUACUGGAUGCUUCCGCCGUGUUGGAUGUGUUCUUGGAUGACACAACCUCGUCACAAAACAUCUGCUCAGGUGCCAAAGGAAUUCUCAUCCACACGUAGCUUCAUUUCAGCAGCUUCACAUUAGCGAGCCACCGUUGCACUCACUGUGAAAGACUUGAAAACUGGUUCCCUCGUGAUGCAUGAAGGUCCGGUAGCUGCACUGCCUGUUCAGCAGCAGCCCAACAGGCAUACUUACCCCCAGGCUGUGGGUGACCUACAAGGUCAAGUUCCCUUCCUGUCUCAAAGCUCCAGCAGCAAACUGAGAACCAUGUCUGAACCUGUCCCUGUGCUGUGCUGUGCCCCUGAUCCUGUGGACAGUCAUGCUCAAAGAUGGAAGGAGAUGAAGAUGGACAUCGCCUCCCCCUGUAAUGACUCACAGCAGAGCGGACACUGUGAGCGCAGCCAGAGCUCAGACGUGGCUCCUGGAACAGGUCUGGACUUGGAGCUGUCAGACGUGGACAGUGGGGCUGCAGUGGAUUUGAAAAACUGUGGAGACAUAUCAACUCAGCAGCAAGAAGGGAGCCCUGUAGAUACCUCAUUAUCUGAUCCUGCUUCCUCACCAGCCCUGGAUAAGAGGAGUCACAAACAGCUUCCAGCAUCAGUGAAUGAUUCAGAAGAGUGUUCAGUUGAUCUGCUUCGGAUAGUGAAGCACAAACCGAGUGCCAUUGUGUUUCGUGACCAUAAAUGUAGCUCUGACAACCAGGUGACCGUUGCCAAUGACAGCUCCGACAGCGGGGGCUCCUCCUCAUCCAACACCAAAGAGGUAGAGAGCGAUGAUGGCGAUGAGGAAGACGACUUUCCCGAUGCCCUGCAGUAUAAGGAAUUCCUGGUCAGCCGUCGGCGCAGACACUUGAGCAGGAACAGGAAGUGCUCGAGGAAGAGGCAGGAUGCCCAGCCUAAUGGCACCGUGGCGAGGCCCGACAGCGAGAGCAAACCUGAGUUCACAGGUAGCCAGGAGGAACAGGAAAUACCGCAGAACAAUGGAGCACAGGGCUACAAAAGAUGACGAUGAGGUAUGACUUUCCUGUUCCUGGCUAGUAGCAGUAACAGCAGAAUGACUCCCCGCCUGGCAUCUUUGCCUCCCAGCAUGCACUGCACCAGCGGGCAUCCAUUAGUGUGAUAGUGCCCCGGACCGUGUUCUCACACCUGUCAGAGCGGCCCUUCAGCUGCUGGCACGUUCCCAUCACAGUCCUCUGGCGUGCUGCACACUGUUCCCUCCUCUUGGACUGAAAUGAAAGGACUUAUUCUUUUGUGAUGUCUUUCUCAGAGUUUGACCAAGUAGCUUUUAGAGUCACUUAUUGACAGGCAUCGGACCAGCGCUCAUUUGAAUACCUGUUAAGUCAAAGAGGCCCCAUUGUGGUUCCAC